CCGGCCCAGAUUCCUACGGGAGGCAGCAGUAGGGAUUCUUCCGCAAUGGACGAAAGUCUGACGGAGCAACGCCGCCUGAGUGAUGAAGGUUUUUGGAUCGUAAAACUCUGUUGUCAGGGAAGAACAAGUGCCGUUUGAAUAGGGCGGCACCUUGACGGUACCUGACCAGAAAGCCCCGGCUAACUACGUGCCAGCAGCCGCGGUAAUACGUAGGGGGCAAGCGUUGUCCGGAAUUAUUGGGCGUAAAGCGCGCGCAGGCGGUCUUUUAAGUCUGAUGUGAAAGCCCACGGCUUAACCGUGGAGGGCCAUUGGAAACUGGAGGACUUGAGUACAGAAGAGGAGAGUGGAAUUCCACGUGUAGCGGUGAAAUGCGUAGAGAUGUGGAGGAACACCAGUGGCGAAGGCGACUCUCUGGUCUGUAACUGACGCUGAGGUGCGAAAGCGUGGGGAGCGAACAGGAUUAGAUACCCUGGUAGUCCACGCCGUAAACGAUGAGUGCUAGGUGUUAGGGGGUUUCCGCCCCUUAGUGCUGAAGUUAACGCAUUAAGCACUCCGCCUGGGGAGUACGGCCGCAAGGCUGAAACUCAAAAGAAUUGACGGGGGCCCGCACAAGCGGUGGAGCAUGUGGUUUAAUUCGAAGCAACGCGAAGAACCUUACCAGGUCUUGACAUCCUCUGCCAAUCCUAGAGAUAGGAUGUUCCCUUCGGGGACAGAGUGACAGGUGGUGCAUGGUUGUCGUCAGCUCGUGUCGUGAGAUGUUGGGUUAAGUCCCGCAACGAGCGCAACCCUUGAUCUUAGUUGCCAGCAUUUAGUUGGGCACUCUAAGGUGACUGCCGGUGACAAACCGGAGGAAGGUGGGGAUGACGUCAAAUCAUCAUGCCCCUUAUGACCUGGGCUACACACGUGCUACAAUGGAUGGAACAAAGGGCAGCGAAGCCGCGAGGUCAAGCAAAUCCCAUAAAACCAUUCUCAGUUCGGAUUGCAGGCUGCAACUCGCCUGCAUGAAGCCGGAAUCGCUAGUAAUCGCGGAUCAGCAUGCCGCGGUGAAUACGUUCCCGGGCCUUGUACACACCGCCCGUCACACCACGAGAGUUGGUAACACCCGAAGUCGGUGAGGUAACCUUUGGAGCCAGCCGCCGUAAGGUGACCA
This 1150-nucleotide ribosomal RNA is filed under the name Virgibacillus salarius. RNAcentral's name for it is "bacterial SSU rRNA". It matches the Rfam family "Bacterial small subunit ribosomal RNA", at positions 326 to 1470 of the family's 1533-position model. The record is from RNAcentral. Lineage: Bacteria; Bacillati; Bacillota; Bacilli; Caryophanales; Bacillaceae.